ACGGCCAGACCAUGCUGAAUAUACCGGUUCUCGUUAGAUCACCGAAGUCAAGCAUCACUGGGCGCGGUCAGUACUUGGGUGGGUGACCACCUGGGAACACCGCGUGCCGUU
Molecule: ribosomal RNA, 111 nt
Filed under: Caerostris darwini
Lineage: Eukaryota; Metazoa; Arthropoda; Arachnida; Araneae; Araneidae
Source: RNAcentral